RNAcentral lists this ribosomal RNA (855 nucleotides) under uncultured archaeon. Its description in RNAcentral is "bacterial SSU rRNA". It matches the Rfam family "Archaeal small subunit ribosomal RNA", at positions 23 to 873 of the family's 1478-position model. The record is from RNAcentral.
GCUACUGCCAUCAGAGUUCGAUUAAGCCAUGUUAGUUAAGGGGACCUUCCUUCGGGGAGGUAACCCGGCAGACGGCUCAGUAACACGUGGACAACUUACCCUUGGGACCGGGAUAACCCCUGGGAAACUGGGGCUAAUACGGGAUAGAGCAUCGGCUGCUGGAAUGCGCGAUGUUCGAAAGCUGAGGCGCCCAAGGAUAGGUCUGCGGCUGAUUAGGUUGUUGUUGAUGUAACGGAUCAACAAGCCCGCGAUCGGUACGGGUUGUGAGAGCAAUAGCCCGGAGAUGGGUUCUGAGAAAAGAACCCAGGUCCUACGGGACGCAUCAGGCGCGAAAACUUUACAAUGUGAGAAAGCGCGAUAAGGGAACUCUGAGUGCCUCCUAAGGAGGCUGUUCAGGUGUCUAAAAAGCAUCUGGAGUAAGGGCUGGGCAAGACCGGUGCCAGCCGCCGCGGUAACACCGGCAGCUCAAGUGGUAGCCAUGCUUAUUGGGUCUAAAGCGUCCGUAGCCGGCUGAGUAAGUUCCUUGGGAAAUUUGACCGCUUAACGGUUAAGCUAUCAGGGAAUACUGCUUGGCUUGGGACCGGGAGAGGUCAGAGGUACUCCAGGGGUAGGGGUGAAAUCUAUUAAUCCUUGGGGGACCACCGGUAGCGAAGGCGUCUGACCAGACCGGGUCCGGCGGUGAGGGACGAAGGCUGGGGUCGCGAACCGGAUUAGAUACCCGGGUAGUCCCAGCUGUAAACGAUGCGGGCCAGGUGUUGGCAUUACUGCGAGUGAUGUCAGUGCCAAAGGGAAGCCGUUAAGCCCGCCAUCUGGGGAGUACGGUCGCAAGGCUGAAACUUAAAGAAAUUGGCGGGG